ACAUAAUUUGUUCUAACUAAAUAAUUGGAAACUUGAAGAUGUCUGCCACUAAGCUGUUGUUGUGUUUGGUUAUCCUUGGAGUUUUCAUUGAGUUAAAUACAGCUCUCCUAAUGGGAUUUUCUGAGAAUGCAAAAGUAAAGGACAUGGGAUUGACUGAAAAUGAAGAGGAUGCCCCUCUAAGAUUGAGAGCAAAACGAUCAAACAGCAGAAGAAGACGUAGUAUGGUUGGAUAUAUAAAGGAACAACAACAGUAAAGUUCAUGUCAAAAAAAAUUUCAUGUCAAAAAUUACAUUAUGCCAAAAUAUAUAAUGUGCAAUAUGAUUUAAGUUUGACAGUACCAUUUUGUAUAUGUUCGCAAUCGUGUUCACCCUGCUGUGGUAUUUAAAUAAAACAUGACCCUGCAUUGACUCACUAA
This is a non-coding RNA of Ciona intestinalis (vase tunicate), 415 nucleotides long. The record is from RefSeq and is a predicted model, not a curated record. NCBI's taxonomy places the organism in Eukaryota, Metazoa, Chordata, Ascidiacea, Phlebobranchia, Cionidae.